UAAGUGUUCACUGUUCAGUAGUAGGUACUAUACCGCGAUAGAUGUUGGUACUAUUAAUAUAUUGUUAUUUUUCAAUUAUAUCAUUGAUAAUUAAAGUCGUUAUUCUUAAAAAUGCAUUACUCGUCCGUGAUUUUCUCGUUUAUUAUGUUAUAAUAUCUUAUAAUCAAUGUGAAUACAUCGAAUUUAAAUUUGUUGAGGCUGAAUAUUAUUUACUCUGUAAAUUAAAAAAUAUUCGAUGUCUGUAAAGCAUUGAGGAUUUAUAGACAUUGCCAAAAGAAAACGUUGCCACGAGAGACGACAAUUUCAAAUUUUUCGAAUUUCACCAAUGCCGAAACGAAAUAUUUAUGAUUAUUAAUUAUAUAUAGGAGAACAACUAUAUUCAGCGAUUUCGAGCCACUUGUUAAACGGUCGUGACGACUACCGUACCAUCAAAUUUACC
This is a long non-coding RNA of Rhopalosiphum padi (bird cherry-oat aphid), 439 nucleotides long. RefSeq lists it as uncharacterized. The transcript is spliced from 3 exons. Lineage: Eukaryota; Metazoa; Arthropoda; Insecta; Hemiptera; Aphididae. The record is from RefSeq and is a predicted model, not a curated record.